CGAGUUCCGCAGUUCCAUAUUUGUCAAACGAAGAUAAAUAUCUUGAGACACAAGAAAAGUUGAACAAGGUGGAGAAGAAGAUUGAGGAGAUGGAGCUGAAACUCAAGGAUGUCGACUUCUGGACUAACAUGAUGCAAAACAUGUUUCCAGACCAAGUACCUCCGUCCAUGAGAGCGAACCAAACCGAGAACAACAAACAACAUUGAAUGAGAGUUUGAGUUGAUUGGAAAAAAAAAAGUGGUGGUGGGACACAUGGAGUGUUUGAGUGACAUUAUAUUAGUGUAUAUUUCGAAUAGGCAUUUUGAAUAACCGGAACAACAACAGACUUUUGGAUGCACUCAUUGGCCAUCAGGUUUGGGGCUUUGAACGCGAAACGGCAAAAGUUUGAUUUGAUGAAAGUAGAUCAGAAAUCAACGAGAGCCUGGUUUUACUUGGGGGUUUUAGAUCGUAGUUGUCGGUGAUUAGUUAGCGAUAUUGUUUUGGGCCUGUGACUCUCGCAUUCACCAUUUAUUGUUUUGGGUCUACGACUCUCGCAUCCACAAUUCUUCAAGAGGGGAACCCAUAUUAUAUACGGUACGUAACAGAAUAGAGCAGAAGCUUUCUUGUUCUGAACUGAAGAGAAAAAAAACAAACAGGGAGUUUAAGACAGAGAAGUGAACUAUUCUUGGUAUAUUGCAGCUGGUGUUGUACUGUUACUACCACAGGAAUUCCAAAGCAGAGGAAACAAAAGAGCCUUUGACUGUUUCUUACGUGUGAAAUUAGCACAAAGAUGCAAAUCUAAUGUGGGCGGAAAUACAGAGGGUACUCUCCACAUUAGCCAUCAAGGUAAUAGCUGCUUUGUACGCAAAACGGCAAAAGUUUGAUUUGAUGACUUUCGCUGAUUAGAAUCAACGAGUUACGUGACCGUUUUAGAUCUUAUAGUUUACGGUGAUUAGCUAUAUGCCAUGUUUAGUUAUUGUUUUGGGCCUACGACUCUCGCAUUCACAAUUCUUCCAAAGGGAAGCCCAACAUUUAUUUUACACCAACAUUUGUUUUACAUACAGUAUGCAUGUGAUAAAAGAAACGACAUUUUCAAGCAA
Molecule: non-coding RNA, 1079 nt
Organism: Camelina sativa (false flax)
Lineage: Eukaryota; Viridiplantae; Streptophyta; Magnoliopsida; Brassicales; Brassicaceae
Source: RefSeq, a predicted model, not a curated record